Molecule: long non-coding RNA, 5990 nt
Organism: Oryzias melastigma (Indian medaka)
Lineage: Eukaryota; Metazoa; Chordata; Actinopteri; Beloniformes; Adrianichthyidae
Exons: 3
Source: RefSeq, a predicted model, not a curated record
AUAUCAAAGUUCAGGAGGCUUGAGCUGGCAGCUUCCGCAAACCGCUACGGCUCCUUGUCUGCCGGCAUGCGAGCUAGGUCUGCUGGCUAAACCACGGAGGCUGGCUGUAGUGAGAGCCGCCGCCCACGGGAUGCAAAAUCUGGAGAUCUGUCUGGAGUGCAUCCCAUCUUUGCCCAACAGUUGCCAGACCAGCUCUGGCAACCCUGCCGCCCCAGUAUGUUAAGGAAAUAGAUGGAAGUUCUGGACAAAAAUGCUCGCAUUGGAUUAGUAUUCUACCACUGAAAACGUCACAUCCCUAAAGCUGAGUUCCUGAUUGGCCGAUGUGAUUUGCCAAAAUUUAGGAUUUUUUUCUUUUUUUUUUUUCUCUUCCCCGCUCAAGUCUCACUGCUGCUAGACCGGCGCCCCACAGAACUUCAGAUCGCCUCAAUUCACGACCAUACCAUUGACUUAACAUUGAAAAUGGCCGCCUCCACCGCAUGAAUCGUGUUCAGUGUCAACAUAGCAUUAGAAAAUCAACUUGUAGCAGAUAAAGUUGCUUAAUGUUUUUAUUUUAUCACUUACUGCAAAAGAUGUAUUAAUAUACAGAUUGUCUUUUUCAUCAUAAUCCUUAAAUAAAAAAAGAAGUGAAACAUUUGCUGUCUUAGUAUAUAUCUGGACACAUCAUAUUGAGAAGUAUAUAAUAAGUAUCGUAUCGCCAGACUGUUGCCAAUACACACCCCUAAUUUAUCCUACUGUGUAUUAUUAGCAGAGGUGGGACCAAGUCAUCAUUUUGCAAGUCCCAAGUCUUUGUCCUCAGGUCAGAGUCAAGUCCCAAGUUAUGUAUAUCAAAGUCCGAGUCAAGCCACGAGUCAGAGGUAGGAAAGUCCAAGUCGAGUCUAAAGUCGUCAAAUUCAUGACUUGAGUCUGACUCGAGUCAAAGUCAUGUGACUCGAGUCCCCACCUCUGAUUAUUAGUGAAUGUUAUUAACUAUUCUGCACACAAGUAAUUUAUGUUCAUUUAGUAUUAUCAGGUUUUGUAGUUUCAUGCUGAAAUCAAAAUGUACUAACAUUUUGCAUUGAAAAGACAAAUGUUUUCUGUCUAAAUCCGGACAACAUGCUUCUUUUUUAUUUUAAAGAAUGUAAUUAGUUUCUUAAAAUGCACUUUAAUAUAUUUUCUUUGUGGCCCCAGGGGCCCCUUGCAUAUAUAAUGUCAUUAGUUUGCAAUAUUAAACUACAAACUAUCAUUUGAAUUUUGCUCUGCAAGUGAUUUUUACAGAAAAGGCUUCAGUACGAACUUCCUCUGUGCCCCGCGAGGAAUUUAAAUCCCUGUGUUAAUAUGUACCAGAUGACACUUUUAAAAGUGUAAAAUAAAAGCCUUCAUUUAUUGAUUCUGACACACUGCGGCAGCAAAGUGAGACAAGUUCCCGCAUUAAUGGAGGACGAGAGGAGGACUUUUUUUUUUUUUUUCUUACUGAACUAAAGCUGCCGUCAUUUAUUGAUGAGGGGGCUUGAUCGAUACAUCAUACGGCGGUAAAUAAUUAAAAUGCUCGCUGAUACAUUAUGGAUGGGAUCUCCAGUCUCCAGCAACUGCUGAUUAAUUAACCAAAUGUAGUAAAUAAAUGGAAAAUUUUCAUGUUUUAUUUUGCAAAAUGAGUGAAAGGGGGAAAAGAUGAUUUGGUCCGUCAGCGCGGAGUCAGAAAGGGAUUUGAAAUAAAGCAAAAUAUUUGGAUAAAAGCUGCAAUGCAGUUAAAAACAAAGUGGAAAAUACAUGUUUUAUAUUUAAUUGGUAAAAAAAAUCUAAAGUAAAGCCAUCAAAGCAGGAAAACUACUUUCUUUCUGAGACAUAAAUGGACAAAUACAUUUUUGAUGUUACUUUUUCUGUCUAAGGUAAAGGUCACACCAGACUUCUAAAUGUUAUACCUUCGACCUCCUCAUCCGAGAUCUGAGCUGCAGUCACACUUGGGAUCCAUAUUUCCAUUGUUUUAGCCCUUCAACCCUUUUCAAAGCUGAAUUUGGAACACAAUUUCUGGCCUCGAGUCAUUUGUAUACGAGAACAAAACUCUUUUGUUGCAACAAAACCACAUUCUGAAAUUGCAUUUAAACCCAUCUGAAUAAUAUGGAUUUGGUUUCUAAUCUACAGAUUUAAAAUGAUAUGAAAGUUUAAUUGAGAAAGCAUCAAUGAAGUCUAAUAACCAUGUAAUGUAAUUGGUAGGGUCGUCAGUCUUUUUUGACAAAACUUGGGGAGGAAUUUAACACAUCUGAAAUAUAGCUGGAGUGGGACUUUAACAAAAAAAAAAAAACAUAUCUUCUGUCAGAAGAUAUAGAAGAUCUCUUUUGAAAAAAUGAACUAACGUUAUCUAAUUAGUGAUGUCCUUUAGUGCCCACUUUUUCCGGUUUCAUGUUUUAAACUUCAUUUUGAUUUCACCGACGUACCCUGGGCUCAGAGUUCACAAUUGAGCUCUCUGAAGGUCAUCCUGGGCUGUUCAGAGACGAUUCGGACCAUCCUUCUCUUUAGUCUCUCAUCAAUUUUUGCCUUGCGGCCACGCCCACCUAAUUGGCUAUUGUAAUUUUUACUUUAGGGCCAUUGUAAAUAUGUUACUAUUACUAAAGAUUUUGAUUUAUUGAUAUUAAGUUAUUUGUGGUCUUAAACAUUCUUUAUUUCUUUUUAAUAAUAAUGAGACCUAAUUAGGCAUAAGUGUCAUCUGUGCUAAGAUAACCAGCGAUUUCAGAAGGGUCAAAAUAUGGCAGACAAAUCUUGGUUUGGAGUCACUACAACCUUCCAUUCCAGAGUUAUUGUUUGAUAAUGAAUUCGUGGUACUGUUUGUGUAUCUCAUGGCCAGAAGGUCAUAGAGACUCGGAUACCACCAGCGUGUUUAGAAAGAUCGACAUAUGCAGACCGAUCACAAUUUUGAGUCUUUACGACAUUAAGAGAGGGACCAUUACUCUUGUCCAGAGUGGUAAGUAACUUGCAAGUGGGGAAUAAUCCCCCUGUCGAAGGUCGGUCUGGAUCUCAUAAUAAGGAUCAUGUUUCUCUGGAUCUUUGGAGUGUUCAAUUCUUAAGAUGUUGGGGCCUUCUGAAAUUUGGGCUUUCAGGUAUUUUUUGCAUCUUUCUAGAAGCCGGAGAGGCUCCAGCACUGUCAUCACCCUCUGCCUCACUCAAGGCCACAACAGUGAUGGCAGGCAGUCCCAUUGGCAGAUCAUCUUGAUUUAGUGCUUAACAUCAACCCUGAUAGAACAAGGCGAAAGGCAUGAAUGUCGUGCCUCUCUGACAAAGUCUGGACUGUGACUGGAGCAGUGGCUUGCUGUCAGAACACCUUCAUAUAAAAAGAUUUGGCCAGAUGUCCCAUUUGGUCUCACCAGUUUUCUCACUACUGAGCCCAUUGCAUUAAAACACACCGUUGGGAGAGAUUUCUGACAAUGUCUUGUACACAUGUAGCUGAGUUUGACUCCAGUAGUGACAGAGAGACUUGUCCAAUAUCCCUAAUACUACCACUGUCAGGAUGGCCAAAUUAGGGAGGUGGCUUGGCUCAGGAACCCCAACACCCAUCAGAUCUGCUGCUUUUGCUGACCCCCAUACAGCUGGUUCCAUCUUACCCUCACACAUCUCUUGCCCAAUCUACAAAUUUUAAGACAUGAACCGUUUAGAACAGCCAGUGUGUAGGAGACAUCAACAUUUGUGAUGCAUCAUUGGAUCACCAUUGGGCUUUAAUCGCUGGUUCUUUGUCACAUAUUAUUUCCAAAUGGUCACAACACUCCUUAGAGUACCUCUAAUGUCAAUGUAAUUAUUUGUGACGGUUGGGUAGACCUUGGCUCUUUUGAAUACAAAUGUGAGUUUUUAGAGCUUCUUACAAGUCAGGUUAUUUAUGUUUACUAUUCAAAAUAGUUUCUGGUUAAAUGUAUUUCUAAUGGUUGGAAGAUUUCUUUGUUGGUCCUAAAAUUUAUUGAAGAUGCUUCUUACCGUUUGUAUUCCUUCCUGGAUGUCAGUACUUGAGUACAUGUUAUUGGGAAGAGGAUCCAAUUCCUGGAGGACAUUUAACUUUUUCAAUAAAAUCAUGUGUCUUUAGCAUACAUAGCUUUGGUGUUUGCUGAACAGAAGGUUUAAAUAGUAAUUAUGAAUUCAGCUGACCCAUAGGUCUCAGUGGUGCAGUCAGAUACUACAGGACAUCCUGGGGAAAUUGCAAACAGAAUACUCCAAGAGGGUAGAUCUUUAUGGAUUUUGGGAAGUAAAAUGGCUUCAGAGCUGCCAGUGAAAUAAACGAAGUUGUUUUGCAAUACUUAUUUUUUUGUAUAAAUUUAAAAUGUUACUAAGUAUAUUGUUUUGUCUAGUUGUUUGUAAUACUGUCCAUUCUUAAGCUGUCUAUAACCUUCCUAUACAUUUUUAUCCCUUUCAAUAAUCAUCACCACAGUGCCUUUGUCUAUGGAGGACUAAAUGAGACUGUUUGAAAUCCAUAUAAACACCAUUAAACAAAUUUGUCAUUAAAUAUUUAAAAUUUGGCAUUAAAUAAAUAAAAGUGGAAAUCAAUAAAGAAAUGUUUAUAUAUGUGCAUCAUUAAAAUGUUAAAACAGCAUUUAAAUAUUUAAUAAUGCAAAAUUAUUUCAUGACUUGGUGUAGGCUGUUGGAGACGAUUUAAAAUUAAUAUAUUUAAUGUGAAACCACAAAAUAAAUGUAUAUUUAAAAUUGGCAUUAAAUAAGUAAAUGUUCAACUGUUUAAAUAUAUGUGGCAUUAAAAUAAUAAUCACAUUUAAAUAUUUAAUGAAAUAUUUAAUUAUGUCAUGGCCCCGUGUGGGCUGGUCUAAAUGAAUAUGUCAAUUAUUUAAAAUGGGCAUUAAAUAAAUGUCAUUAAAUGUGUCAAUAUUUAAUUAAAAUCAAAUUUUAAAUGAUUUAAGAAGCACUUAUGUAUUUCAUGGUUCGGGUAGUGGGCACACCAUUUCAUUAUGUUAUCGGUCUUAUCAAAAUCUGUGGGCGGGGCCGACUCGCACCGGGUGGGCGGGGCCGACUCGCACCGGGUGGGCGGGGCCGACUCGCACCGGGUGGGCGGGGCUGACUCGCACCGGGUGGGCGGGGCUGACUGGGAUCAUUGAACGGAUGAGAAUUCUCAUGUAACUCAGGAGUCUUAUAAAGUUUUUACGGUUUUAUCUGGCACCUGACAUGAAUACAUGCUGUAAACAUUGUUUUGGUGAACCGUAGAACUUUAGUAGUUUUUUUUAAUUUAGUGUCUUUUGUCCUUUAUAUGUUUAAAUCGCACAUCUGAUCUAAUGUAAUUAAAUAAAUGUAUUGAUUUCAGGUUUAAAUUGCAAUUUAAUGUUACUAAGCAUUGUUAAAUAAUAAUGUAAAUUUUUGGGUUAAUUAUCUAAUUGUUUUUUGAUAGGAAGGUCGUAGAGACAUGAGAACAAGUUCUACCCUCUGGUACCAUAAGGUGAGGAUUCCACUGAUGAAGUCCUUACAUCUAUAUGACUUCAAUUUCCCAAGAUACCCUCAUUUGUGGUGUACUUUAUGUAUCUUGGAACACCACUACACUGUAAAAAAUGACUGUUUUUCGUAGUGUUUUGUCAACUUAUAUUAUAUUUUAUCACUUAGUUUUAAAAAUAAAAAGUUGCUUGUUUUGCUAUUUAAUGUUAAUUUUAAUCAUCAAUCCUCCCAUGAUGUAUAUAAUCCUAUGUAAGGAGGUUUGAUGCUCUUUUUAAUACUUAUUUGUUUUUACUUUUAUUUUAUUAGUAACACUGCAGAAAGACAAUAAUUAAACUGUAUGUUUUUUAUUUACCAUUCUUCCUUCUUUUAUUACGACAGUCAUGUUCAGUCACGUUUUUUACUAUUAUCGCCUGUCGUUAAUGCUUUAUUAUCCUGAGUCUGGAUUUACAGUUUUAAUGCUUUCACAGGGGAUUGCUCCAAUUAAGCAGAACAAAACAUGUGACGGAACGAGGAUUCAUUUUGCUGUUCCUCCAUUAUCAGGAGCCGAUGUUGGAAUUAAAUGGAGUUAUAAAAAUAAUCAUAACAUAAACAACAUUUUUCUG